GAUGAACGCUGGCGGCGUGCCUAAUACAUGCAAGUCGAGCGAACAGACGAGGAGCUUGCUCCUCUGACGUUAGCGGCGGACGGGUGAGUAACACGUGGAUAACCUACCUAUAAGACUGGGAUAACUUCGGGAAACCGGAGCUAAUACUGGAUAAUAUAUUGAACCGCAUGGUUCAAUAGUGAAAGACGGUUUUGCUGUCACUUAUAGAUGGAUCCGCGCCGCAUUAGCUAGUUGGUAAGGUAACGGCUUACCAAGGCAACGAUGCGUAGCCGACCUGAGAGGGUGAUCGGCCACACUGGAACUGAGACACGGUCCAGACUCCUACGGGAGGCAGCAGUAGGGAAUCUUCCGCAAUGGGCGAAAGCCUGACGGAGCAACGCCGCGUGAGUGAUGAAGGUCUUCGGAUCGUAAAACUCUGUUAUUAGGGAAGAACAAAUGUGUAAGUAACUAUGCACGUCUUGACGGUACCUAAUCAGAAAGCCACGGCUAACUACGUG
Molecule: ribosomal RNA, 497 nt
Filed under: uncultured bacterium
Lineage: Bacteria
Description: partial 16S ribosomal RNA
Rfam family: Bacterial small subunit ribosomal RNA
Source: RNAcentral